Small nucleolar RNA from Monodelphis domestica (gray short-tailed opossum), 73 nucleotides. Its record names the gene SNORD34. It matches the Rfam family "Small nucleolar RNA SNORD34". Rfam says of the family: snoRNA U34 is found in intron 5 of the ribosomal protein L13a gene in humans. The record is from Ensembl. Lineage: Eukaryota; Metazoa; Chordata; Mammalia; Didelphimorphia; Didelphidae.
UGGCGUCUGUGAUGUCUCCUUUACCUACAUUGUUUGACAUCUCCCUGAGAAAACAUUGUUGCCUGAGACGCUU